This 372-nucleotide ribosomal RNA is filed under the name uncultured soil bacterium. RNAcentral describes it as "bacterial SSU rRNA". It matches the Rfam family "Bacterial small subunit ribosomal RNA", at positions 26 to 387 of the family's 1533-position model. The record is from RNAcentral.
AGAUUGAACGCUGGCGGCAGGCCUAACACAUGCAAGUCGAGCGGCAGCACGGGUACUUGUACCUGGUGGCGAGCGGCGGACGGGUGAGUAAUGCCUAGGAAUCUGCCUGGUAGUGGGGGAUAACGCUCGGAAACGGACGCUAAUACCGCAUACGUCCUACGGGAGAAAGCAGGGGACCUUCGGGCCUUGCGCUAUCAGAUGAGCCUAGGUCGGAUUAGCUAGUUGGUGAGGUAUGGCUCACAAGGCGACGAUCCGUAACUGGUCUGAGAGGAUGAUCAGUCACACUGGAACUGAGACACGGUCCGAGACUCCGUACGGGAGGCAGGCAGGUGGGAAUAGUUAGGAACUAAGUGGGGACGAAAGUCCGUAGAC